GACGAACGCUGGCGGCGUGCUUAACACAUGCAAGUCGAACGGUAAGGCCCUGUUUUUGUUGGGUGCUCGAGUGGCGAACGGGUGAGUCACAAGUGAGUAACCUACCACUGACUUUGGGAUAACUUCAGGUAACUGUGGCUCAUACCGUGUAGGACCUCCUGCUGCAUGGUGGGGGUUGGAAAGUUUCGGCGGUUGGGGAUGGACUCGCGGCUUAUCAGCUUGUUGGUGGGGUAGUGGCCUACCAAGGCUUUGAUGGGUAGCCGGCCUGAGAGGGUGACCGGCCACAUUGGGACUGAGAUACGGCCCAGACUCCUACGGGAGGCAGCAGUGGGGAAUAUUGCACAAUGGGCGGAAGCCUGAUGCAGCAACGCCGCGUGCGGGAUGACGGCCUUCGGGUUGUAAACCGCUUUAGCCGGGAACAAAGCGUUUGUGACGGUAGUUGGAAAAGAAGCACCGGCUAACUACGUG
Molecule: ribosomal RNA, 468 nt
Filed under: uncultured bacterium
Lineage: Bacteria
Description: partial 16S ribosomal RNA
Rfam family: Bacterial small subunit ribosomal RNA
Source: RNAcentral